RNAcentral lists this ribosomal RNA (399 nucleotides) under Hemphillia camelus. Its description in RNAcentral is "partial large subunit ribosomal RNA". It matches the Rfam family "Bacterial large subunit ribosomal RNA", at positions 1841 to 2586 of the family's 2925-position model. Lineage: Eukaryota; Metazoa; Mollusca; Gastropoda; Stylommatophora; Arionidae. The record is from RNAcentral.
UAUUAUUUUGAGUUGGUCCUGCCCGGUGAGUUUUUAACGGCCGCAGUACUCUGACUGUGCUAAGGUAGCAUAAUAAUUUGUCUUUUAAUUGAAGACUGGAAUAAACGGGUGUUUGUUUAAAUUCUGUCUCUAUUUUAUUUUAUUUAAUUUACUUUAAAAGGUGAAAAUUCCUUUAAAAUUUUGUUAGACGAGAAGACCCUUAGAGUUUUAACNUAUUACUGUUUUUGUUGGGGCGACAUAGAAGCACUUAACCUUCUAUAAUAAUAAACUAUAUAUCAAAUAUUUUUAAAAAUUAAACUACCUAAGGGAUAACAGCAUAAUUUAUUAUUAAGAUUAUGACCUCGAUGUUGGAUUAAGGACUUAUAAGUUAACCGCUCAAUAAGAUAGUUCUGUUCGAAC